CAGCUGUUUUUCCCGCCUCUGCUGUCAAGUUCUGCUGUCAAGGUGAUUUGCCCAGUUUUCUGCGAGUGAUUUGGGCAAAUCACUGGGCAAAUCGCUCUCUGGGAUUCAGUCCAGUUUCUGUCUCUGUAGUUCUGCUGUUAAGGUGAUUUGCCCAGUUUUCUUCGAGUGAUUUGGGCAAAUCACUGGGCAAAUCACUUUUGCUGUCAUUUUCUGCACUUUUUCUCCAACUCUUCAAUUUCUUCAUUUUCUACAAAAACAUAACAAAAACACAAUUUAAGCUAGGAAAAUAUGUAAAUAAACAGUAAAUAAUAUAUUAAAAACAUGGCUAAAUUAUGCUUGGUCAAAUACCCCCACACCUAGCUUUUUGCUUGUCCUCAAGCAACAAAUAACUUAGCCAAUCAAGCCCCCCUUUUCUUUUGAGCCUAAGUACCACUUAAUCAGCCCCCCUAGACUCCU
RNAcentral lists this long non-coding RNA (456 nucleotides) under Manihot esculenta (cassava). Its description in RNAcentral is "long non-coding RNA (MESC_LNC011151)". Lineage: Eukaryota; Viridiplantae; Streptophyta; Magnoliopsida; Malpighiales; Euphorbiaceae. The record is from RNAcentral.